RNAcentral lists this transfer RNA (63 nucleotides) under Schistodesmus lampreyanus. Its description in RNAcentral is "tRNA-Gly". Lineage: Eukaryota; Metazoa; Mollusca; Bivalvia; Unionida; Unionidae. The record is from RNAcentral.
AUGCUGGUAGUAUAAUAUUGUACAAUUGCCUUCCAAGCAGAUAGACCAAAAAUGGCCAACAUA